UACGAAGGGGGCGAGCGUUGUUCGGAUUUACUGGGCGUAAAGCGUGCGCAGGCGGCGCGUUAAGACAGGUGUGAAAGCCCCGAGCUUAACUUGGGAAUUGCGCUUGUGACUGGCGUGCUGGAGUGUGGCAGAGGGAGGUGGAAUUCCACGUGUAGCAGUGAAAUGCGUAGAGAUGUGGAGGAACACCGAUGGCGAAGGCAGCCUCCUGGGCCAGCACUGACGCUCAUGCACGAAAGCGUGGGGAGCAAACAGG
RNAcentral lists this ribosomal RNA (253 nucleotides) under uncultured bacterium. RNAcentral describes it as "partial 16S ribosomal RNA". It matches the Rfam family "Bacterial small subunit ribosomal RNA", at positions 524 to 776 of the family's 1533-position model. The record is from RNAcentral.